RNAcentral lists this ribosomal RNA (253 nucleotides) under uncultured prokaryote. RNAcentral describes it as "partial 16S ribosomal RNA". It matches the Rfam family "Bacterial small subunit ribosomal RNA", at positions 525 to 777 of the family's 1533-position model. The record is from RNAcentral.
ACGUAGGGGGCGAGCGUUGUCCGGAGUUACUGGGCGUAAAGGGCACGCAGGCGGUCCUGCGCGUUUCGCGUGACAGCGGGUGGCUUAACUGCCCGAGGGUGCGAAAGACGGUGGGACUUGAGGGCCAGAGAGGGACCUGGAAUUCCGGGUGGAGUGGUGAAAUGCGUAGAUAUCCGGAGGAACACCAAAGGCGAAGGCAGGGUCCUGGCUGGUGACUGACGCUGAGGUGCGAAAGCUAGGGGAGCGAACGGGA